AUGCUGAGCCCGCGCGCCCGCCCGCUCGCUCCCCGCCCGCCGCGCGUCGGCACUCACGCUGAGGGGAAAGAGCGAGCUGCCGGGGAGCGGAGGGGGGUGGUCAGGCCGACACUGUCGCCGCCGCUGCCAGAGCCGCCGCCUCCUCCCUCAGUUUCGUUUCCCUACAAGCCAGCCCAGGUCCGCCAGCCGCGCCGUCGCGCUCGGGUCCAGUACUGCGGGCAGCGCAGCCUGAUGACGUCACGGACAGCGCCGCGCCCCGCUCCUCCCCCAGCCGGGUCCUGGCCUCGGGAAAGGCAGCUGGGGUUCUGGCCUGCUCCACCCUUUAGCCUGGGAAGUCCAGGGGCGCCUGCGCGGAAAAGUCGCCGGGAAAAGGCUGCAAAAGCAAAAACUAAGAACAAGUUCCGAGAGGCAGAUGGUAACCUGGUUGAGGGCAAGAACCCAGUGUUCUUAUUCCCUGCUGUAUCCCCAACAUCCAGCCUAUGGGACAUCUCAACAGAUUUUGAACGAAGGACGAGAGGAAAGAAGGAAUGCCGCCCAUAGCAUCUUACCAUAUGGACACAGAUGGCUCUCCACCCGAAACCUCUCUUCUGAUUUUCAGGCCAUUAUGGCCAAACGUCUGUUGGACAUCCUCACUCAGUCACCUCAAACCCCAUGAAUUCAAAUUUCACCUUAUGUUCUCCCAUCAGCUCACUUUUUUCCUGGUGAAGGGCGCUGCCAUCCAUCCUGUUGAUCCAGCUAGAAAUCUGAGGAGUCUCCCUCUUCUUCAUACGCCAAAGCUGCUCAUACACUUAAUUGAGUUUAUCUCCUAAUUGUCUUUCAAAUCCAUCCAUUCACCCCCAUCCCCAUUGCCACAAUUCAUGCACUCACCCCGACUCAGCAGAAUUUCUCCAGUAAUCUCCAAACCCCUGUGACUGUCUCCAGUUGUGAUCCCUCUAAUGCGUUCUUCACAAAACCAAAGUGAUUUUUUAAAUUUUCAACAUCUAUGAAAAGAAGGGAAUUUAAAAUUAAUUAAACCUGAUCCUGUCACAACCCAUCAAUGAUUAAAAUCCAUCAAUGAUGUCCUAUUGCUCUUAGAAUAAAGCUAAUGUCUUUAAAAUGGCCUCCGAGACC
Molecule: long non-coding RNA, 1110 nt
Filed under: Piliocolobus tephrosceles (Ugandan red Colobus)
Lineage: Eukaryota; Metazoa; Chordata; Mammalia; Primates; Cercopithecidae
Description: lncRNA (ENSPTEG00000033267.1)
Source: RNAcentral